GACCAGGCCAAUAAGGGCAAGUGGUGGAUGUCUCGGCGUUGAGAGGCGAUGAAGGACGUGGAAACCUGCGAUAAGCUUCGGGAAGCCGGUAAUCAGGCAAUGAUCCGAAGGUCUCCGAAUGGGGAAACCCGGCCCACUUUUGUGGGUCACUCGUACCCGAAUGCAUACGGUACGAGAGCGAACCUGGCGAACUGAAACAUCUCAGUAACCAGAGGAAAAGAAAGCAAACGCGAUUCCGUAAGUAGCGGCGAGCGAAAGCGGAACAGCCCAAACCGGACUUCGGUCCGGGGUUUGGACACCGACAUGGUGACCGAAUGAUGUGUGAGUCGGCUGGAAAGUCGAACCAAAGAAGGUGACAGUCCUGUAGCACAUCUGAAGGAAAUCUAGGUGUUCCAGAGUAGCACGGUGCUCGUGAAACUCCGUGUGAACAUGGGGGGUCCACCCUCCAAGGCUAAAUACUCCUCAACGACCAAUAGUGAACCAGUAAGGUGACUGAAUGAUGAAAAGUACCCCGAUAAGGGGAGUGAAAAGUACCUGAAACCACUUGCUUACAAGCUGUGGGAGCCCGCUUCGGUGGGUGACCGCGUGCCUUUUGCAUAAUGAGCCGACGAGUUACUUUCUGUGGCAAGGUUAAGCUGUAUCCCAGCGGAGCCGAAGGGAAACCGAGUCUGAAUAGGGCGCACAGUCGCAGGGGGUAGACGCGAAACCGGGUGAUCUACCCAUGGGCAGGUUGAAGGAGGGGUAAAACCCUUUGGAGGACCGAACACACCUACGUUGAAAAGUGGGGUGAUGACCUGUGGGGAGGAGUUAAAGUCUAAUCAAACCCGGAGAUAUCUCGUUCUCCUCGAAAUAGCUUUAGGGCUAGCCUCUCGUUACAGCGAUCGGGGGUAGAGCUACUGGAUGGGGCUGGGGGGCUCACCGCCUACCCACCCCAACCAAACUCCGAAUACCGAACGCCUUUGUCGAGGGAGUCAGUCCAUGGGAGAUAAUUUCCAUGGUCGAAAGGGAAACAGCCCAGACCGCCGGUUAAGGUCCCUGAACAUGUCUAAGUUUCUAAGGAAGUCAGAUUGCAUUGACAGCCAGGAUGUUGGCUUAGAAGCAGCCACCAUUUAAAGAGUGCGUAACAGCUCACUGGUCGAGGAAUCUGGUGCCGAUAAUGAUCGGGAAUAAGACGUGUACCGAAACCGCGGAUUCGUAAGAAUGGUAGAGGAGCGUUCCUAUCAGCGCUGAAGCGUUUCCGUAAGGAUGCGUGGAGCGGUAGGAAGUGAAUAUGUCGGCUUGAGUAACGAUAAAUGGAGUGAGAAUCUCCAUCGCCGAAAACCUAAGGUUUCCUGGGGAAGGUAAAUCCGCCCAGGGUUAGGCGGGACCUAAGGCGAGGCCGAAAGGCGUAGUCGAUGGAUAGCAGGUCAACAUUCCUGCCCCGUCAUGUAAGGUUGAUCCAGCGCGACGGAUCAUGAAGCUUUGUGGGACAGUGAAGCGUCCAGGCCCUUGAGGCCGAUGCAAGGUGGAUUGGUUCCAAGAAAAACCGUCUGGUGACGAACAUGACGCCCGUACUAAAACUGACACAGGUAGGUGUGGCGAAAAGCCUCAGGCGCUCGAGAGAACCGUUGUGAAGGAACUAGGCAAAUUGACCCCGUACGUUCGCAAUAAGGGGGCCCUCCUGGAAACAGAGGGCGCAGAGAAAAGGCUCUGGCGACUGUUUAUCAAAAACACAGCACUGUGCGAACACGCAAGUGGACGUAUACAGUGUGACGCCUGCUCGGUGCCGGACUGUUAAGGAAGUGGGUUAGCUUCGGCGAAGCU
This 1803-nucleotide ribosomal RNA is filed under the name Phycisphaerae bacterium. RNAcentral's name for it is "bacterial LSU rRNA". It matches the Rfam family "Bacterial large subunit ribosomal RNA", at positions 1 to 1906 of the family's 2925-position model. Lineage: Bacteria; Pseudomonadati; Planctomycetota; Phycisphaerae. The record is from RNAcentral.